CAGUAGCCGCGGGAAUACGUAGGGUGCAAGCGUUAAUCGGAAUUACUGGGCGUAAAGCGUGCGCAGGCGGUUAUAUAAGACAGAUGUGAAAUCCCCGGGCUCAACCUGGGAACUGCAUUUGUGACUGUAUAGCUAGAGUACGGCAGAGGGGGAUGGAAUUCCGCGUGUAGCAGUGAAAUGCAUAGAUAUGCGGAGGAACACCGAUGGCGAAGGCAAUCCCCUGGGCCUGUACUGACGCUCAUGCACGAAAGCGUGGGGAGCAAACAGGAUUAGAUACCCCAGUAGUCCCUGUCUCUUAUAC
Molecule: ribosomal RNA, 301 nt
Filed under: uncultured bacterium
Lineage: Bacteria
Description: partial 16S ribosomal RNA
Rfam family: Bacterial small subunit ribosomal RNA
Source: RNAcentral